GCACCACAAGAACGCGUGGAGCAUGUGGCUUAAUUUGACUCAACGCGGGAAAUCUUACCGGGUCCGGACACACUGAGGAUUGACAGGCAAUAUCUCAUGUUAACGGUAAGUUUACUUACCGCUUAACAUCGAGUGUUAAAUAUGCUAGUCCUUUCAUGAUUAUGUGAUAGGUGGUGCAUGGCCGUUCUUAGUUCGUGGAGUGAUCUGUCUGCUUAAUUGCGUUUCACUAAGGGCCCAUAAAUUCAAGGUAUGUUAGCUCUCGUCGCUCUAUGGACCCCUUAACUCCAAUAUUCUUAUUGUGUUAAGCGCGUGUCUUUAUUUUAAGAGUUUUAAGACACUGCGCAUGCUGUUGGGCUCUGAAAGCAACAACGUGACCGCAACGUCUUGUUGCCUUAAACUAGCGUAUAUUGCAAUUUAUUGUAAUAUCGCUUACAGAGGCUAUUUAAAACUAGACGGACCGCUGUUUCUUUCUUAAACCA
This 479-nucleotide ribosomal RNA is filed under the name Neogloboquadrina pachyderma. Its description in RNAcentral is "SSU rRNA". It matches the Rfam family "Eukaryotic small subunit ribosomal RNA", at positions 1164 to 1436 of the family's 1831-position model. Lineage: Eukaryota; Foraminifera; Rotaliida; Globorotaliidae. The record is from RNAcentral.